CUGGAGAAGAGCGGGAGUCAAAUAACAAAGAAGUUGAUAUAUUGCGCCGAUCAUAGAAGGUUCGACAGCCAAGAGGUUGAUUAUAACUAUGUCAUGGUCAUUAACAAAGGACAGAAAAGCAUCGAAUAUGUUUCGGUAAAUCUGGUAUACAUGGAUGGGGACCCUUUGCUCCAAGAAAUAUUCAGGAAGGAGAAAUGGUACCUUCUCCUGAAAACUACCUCAUUAUUUGCAUGUUAUGCUUUAGUUGGACGGAAAUGCUGUAUUUGUCAUUGUACUUUUCAUUUAUUCUUGGAAAUGGAGGACAUGAUAAAAAGAGACAAGUACAGCGAUUUAUAUUCUCAAAUGUUUUUCGUUUUUUCAUUACCAUAAAGAGUGGAGUUUAGGAAGUGUGUUUCUUCAUGAUUUUCCCUCCCAAAGCUUUGUCUCUUUGGCUCAUCAGGUUCAUUGAUUAGCAUUGAAAUCAUGAUCUGCAUUAUCUGUCA
Molecule: long non-coding RNA, 482 nt
Organism: Eucalyptus grandis
Lineage: Eukaryota; Viridiplantae; Streptophyta; Magnoliopsida; Myrtales; Myrtaceae
Exons: 3
Source: RefSeq, a predicted model, not a curated record